UACAGAGGUCUCAAGCGUUGUUCGGAUUCAUUGGGCGUAAAGGGUGCGUAGGCGGCGCGGUAAGUCGGGUGUGAAAUCUCGGGGCUUAACUCCGAAACUGCAUUCGAUACUGCCGUGCUUGAGGACUGGAGAGGAGACUGGAAUUUACGGUGUAGCGGUGAAAUGCGUAGAUAUCGUAAGGAAGACCAGUGGCGAAGGCGGCUCGCUGGACCUUUUCUGACGCUGAGGCGCGAAGGCCAGGGGAGCAAACAGG
This 253-nucleotide ribosomal RNA is filed under the name uncultured bacterium. RNAcentral describes it as "partial 16S ribosomal RNA". It matches the Rfam family "Bacterial small subunit ribosomal RNA", at positions 524 to 776 of the family's 1533-position model. The record is from RNAcentral.